CCUACGGGAGGCAGCAGUGAGGAAUAUUGGUCAAUGGGCGGAAGCCUGAACCAGCCAAGUAGCGUGCAGGAUGACGGCCCUACGGGUUGUAAACUGCUUUUAUACGGGAAUAACGCGCCUUACGUGUAGGGCUUUGCAUGUACCUUAUGAAUAAGGACCGGCUAAUUCCGUGCCAGCAGCCGCGGUAAUACGGAGGGUCCGGGCGUUAUCCGGAUUUAUUGGGUUUAAAGGGAGCGUAGGCCGCAUGUCAAGCGGGCUGUGAAAUUUCGGGGCUCAACCCGGGCCUUGCAGCGCGAACUGGCGUCCUUGAGUCCGCGGAAAGCAGGCGGAAUUCGUGGUGUAGCGGUGAAAUGCUGAGAUAUGACGAAGAACCCCGAUUGCGAAGGCAGCCUGCUGCAGCGGAACUGACGCUGAUGCUCGAAAGUGCGGGUAUCGAACAGGAUUAGAUACCCGUGUAGUC
RNAcentral lists this ribosomal RNA (460 nucleotides) under uncultured bacterium. RNAcentral describes it as "partial 16S ribosomal RNA". It matches the Rfam family "Bacterial small subunit ribosomal RNA", at positions 338 to 795 of the family's 1533-position model. The record is from RNAcentral.